AUUUACCUAAACCCGCCAAAGAACUACGAGCGCAAGCUUAAAACUUAAAGGACUUGACGGUGUCCCAUCUACCUAGAGGAGCCUGUUCUAUAAUCGAUAAUCCUCGUUACACCUUACCUUUUUUAGCUAAUCAGUCUGUAUACUUCCGUCGUAAGCUUACCAUAUGAAUGCAUUAGUAAGUUAAAUAGUAAUAACAUUACCAAAACGUCAGGUCAAAGUGCAGCCUACAAAAAGGAAGAAAUGGGCUACAAUUUCUAUAUAAGAACAAACGAAUUUAAGUAAUUGAAAACUACUAUGAAGGCGGAUU
RNAcentral lists this ribosomal RNA (307 nucleotides) under Hyperolius lamottei (Ivory Coast reed frog). RNAcentral describes it as "partial 12S ribosomal RNA". It matches the Rfam family "Bacterial small subunit ribosomal RNA", at positions 859 to 1332 of the family's 1533-position model. Lineage: Eukaryota; Metazoa; Chordata; Amphibia; Anura; Hyperoliidae. The record is from RNAcentral.